RNAcentral lists this ribosomal RNA (531 nucleotides) under uncultured bacterium. Its description in RNAcentral is "bacterial SSU rRNA". It matches the Rfam family "Bacterial small subunit ribosomal RNA", at positions 1 to 507 of the family's 1533-position model. The record is from RNAcentral.
UGACAUUACCGCGGCUCAGGACGAACGCUGGCGGCGUGCUUAACACAUGCAAGUCGAACGAGAGGAGAAGGAAGCUUGCUUCUUUCAAAUCUAAGUGGCAAACGGGUGAGUAACACGUAAANAACCUGCCUUCAGGAUGGGGACAACAGACGGAAACGACUGCUAAUACCGAAUACGUUCCUUAGGUCGCAUGACUUUAGGAAGAAAGGGUGGCCUCUACUUGUAAGCUAUCGCCUGAAGAGGGGUUUGCGUCUGAUUAGGUAGUUGGUGAGGUAACGGCCCACCAAGCCGACGAUCAGUAGCCGGUCUGAGAGGAUGAACGGCCACACUGGAACUGAGACACGGUCCAGACUCCUACGGGAGGCAGCAGUGGGGAAUCUUCCGCAAUGGACGAAAGUCUGACGGAGCAACGCCGCGUGAACGAUGACGGCCUUCGGGUUGUAAAGUUCUGUUAUACGGGACGAAUGGCGUAGCGGUCAAUACCCGUUACGAGUGACGGUACCGUAAGAGAAAGCCACGGCUAACUACGUG